GUUAGGAAUAUUGGACAAUGGGCGCAAGCCUGAUCCAGCCAUGCCGCGUGAGUGAUGAAGGCCUUCGGGUUGUAAAGCUCUUUAGCCGAUGAUUAUAAUGACUGUAGUCGGAAAAUAAGCCCCGGCUAACUUCGUGCCAGCAGCCGCGGUAAUACGAAGGGGGCGAGCGUUAUUCGGAAUCACUGGGCGUAAAGCGUGCGUAGGCUGUUUUGUAAGUCAGAAGUGAAAGCCCAGGGCUUAACCCUGGAAUUGCUUUUGAAACUACAAGACUCGAAUUCGGGAGAGGAUAGCGGAAUUGUCAGUGUAGCAGUGAAAUGCGUAGAUAUUGACAGGAACACCAGUGGCGCAAGCGGCUAUCUGGACCGAUAUUGACGCUGAGGCACGAAAGCGUGGGGAGCAAACAGGAUUAGAAACCCGUGUAGUCC
This 425-nucleotide ribosomal RNA is filed under the name uncultured bacterium. RNAcentral's name for it is "partial 16S ribosomal RNA". It matches the Rfam family "Bacterial small subunit ribosomal RNA", at positions 354 to 796 of the family's 1533-position model. The record is from RNAcentral.